UUGGAACAGGACGUCAUAGAGGGUGAGAAUCCCGUAUGUGACCGGCCGCCACGCCCGUGUGAAGCUCCUUCGACGAGUCGAGUUGUUUGGGAAUGCAGCUCAAAAUGGGUGGUAAAUUUCAUCUAAAGCUAAAUAUUGGCCAGAGACCGAUAGCGCACAAGUAGAGUGAUCGAAAGAUGAAAAGCACUUUGGAAAGAGAGUCAAACAGUACGUGAAAUUGUUGAAAGGGAAGCGCUUGCAACCAGACUUGCCCGCGGGCGAUCAGCCGGUAUUCUUACCGGUGCACUCACCCGCGGUCAGGCCAGCAUCGGUUCGGGCGGCCGGACAAAGUCCGCUGGAAUGUAGCUCCUCUUGGGGAGUGUUAUAGCCAGCGGUGCCAUGCAGCCCGCCCGGACCGAGGACCGCGCUUCGGCUAGGAUGCUGGCGUAAUGGUUGUAAGCGACCCGUCUUGAAACACGGACCAAGGAGUCUAACAUCUAUGCGAGUGUUUGGGUGUCAAACCCAUGCGCGUAAUGAAAGUGAACGGAGGUGGGAACCCUCAAGGGUGCACCAUCGACCGAUCCUGAUGUCUUCGGAUGGAUUUGAGUAAGAGCAUAGCUGUUGGGACCCGAAAGAUGGUGAACUAUGCCUGAAUAGGGUGAAGCCAGAGGAAACUCUGGUGGAGGCUCGCAGCGGUUCUGACGUGCAAAUCGAUCGUCAAA
This 701-nucleotide ribosomal RNA is filed under the name Acarospora rimulosa. Its description in RNAcentral is "partial large subunit ribosomal RNA". It matches the Rfam family "Eukaryotic large subunit ribosomal RNA", at positions 190 to 909 of the family's 3401-position model. Lineage: Eukaryota; Fungi; Ascomycota; Lecanoromycetes; Acarosporales; Acarosporaceae. The record is from RNAcentral.